RNAcentral lists this ribosomal RNA (2901 nucleotides) under Streptococcus pneumoniae GA43265. RNAcentral describes it as "bacterial LSU rRNA". It matches the Rfam family "Bacterial large subunit ribosomal RNA". The record is from RNAcentral. Lineage: Bacteria; Bacillati; Bacillota; Bacilli; Lactobacillales; Streptococcaceae.
UAAGUUAAUAAGGGCGCACGGUGGAUGCCUUGGCACUAGGAGCCGACGAAGGACGUGACAAACGACGAUAUGCCUUGGGUAGCUGUAAGUAAGCGAUGAUCCAGGGAUUUCCGAAUGGGGGAACCCAACAGGUAAUACCUGUUACCUACAUCUGUUAAGGAUGUGAGGAGGAAGACGCAGUGAACUGAAACAUCUAAGUAGCUGCAGGAAGAGAAAGCAAAAGCGAUUGCCUUAGUAGCGGCGAGCGAAACGGCAGAAGGGCAAACCGAAGAGUUUACUCUUCGGGGUUGUAGGACUGCAAUGUGGACUCAAAGAUUAUAGAAGAAUGAUUUGGGAAGAUCAGCCAAAGAGAGUAAUAGCCUCGUAUUUAAAAUAGUCUUUGUACUUAGCAGUAUCCUGAGUACGGCGGGACACGUGAAAUCCCGUCGGAAUCUGGGAGGACCAUCUCCCAACCCUAAAUACUCCCUAGUGACCGAUAGUGAACCAGUACCGUGAGGGAAAGGUGAAAAGCACCCCGGGAGGGGAGUGAAAUAGAACCUGAAACCGUGUGCCUACAACAAGUUCGAGCCCGUUAAUGGGUGAGAGCGUGCCUUUUGUAGAAUGAACCGGCGAGUUACGUUAUGAUGCGAGGUUAAGUUGAAGAGACGGAGCCGUAGGGAAACCGAGUCUGAAUAGGGCGCCUUAGUAUCAUGACGUAGACCCGAAACCAUGUGACCUACCCAUGAGCAGGUUGAAGGUGCGGUAAGACGCACUGGAGGACCGAACCAGGGCACGUUGAAAAGUGCUUGGAUGACUUGUGGGUAGCGGAGAAAUUCCAAACGAACUUGGAGAUAGCUGGUUCUCUCCGAAAUAGCUUUAGGGCUAGCGUCGACAUUAGAGAUUCUUGGAGGUAGAGCACUGUUUGGGUGAGGGGUCCAUCCCGGAUUACCAAUCUCAGAUAAACUCCGAAUGCCAAUGAAUUAUGGUCGGCAGUCAGACUGCGAGUGCUAAGAUCCGUAGUCGAAAGGGAAAACAGCCCAGACCACCAGCUAAGGUCCCAAAAUAAAUUGUUAAGUGGAAAAGGAUGUGGGGUUGCACAGACAACUAGGAUGUUUAGCUUAGAAGCAGCUAUUCAUUCAAAGAGUGCGUAAUAGCUCACUAGUCGAGUGACCCUGCGCCGAAAAUGUACCGGGGCUAAAACAAUUUACCGAAGCUGUGGAUACCUUUAUAGGUAUGGUAGGAGAGCGUUCUAUGUGUGAUGAAGGUAUACCGUGAGGAGUGCUGGAACGCAUAGAAGUGAGAAUGCCGGUAUGAGUAGCGAAAGACAGGUGAGAAUCCUGUCCACCGUAAGACUAAGGUUUCCAGGGGAAGGCUCGUCCGCCCUGGGUUAGUCGGGACCUAAGGAGAGACCGAAAGGUGUAUCCGAUGGACAACAGGUUGAUAUUCCUGUACUAGAGUAUGUAGUGAUGGAGGGACGCAGUAGGCUAACUAAAGCAGACGAUUGGAAGAGUCUGUCUAAGCAGUGAGGUGUGAAUUGAGUCAAAUGCUUAAUUCUAUAACAUUGAGCUGUGAUGGGGAGCGAAGUUUAGUAGCGAAGUUAGUGACGUCACACUGCCAAGAAAAGCUUCUAGCGUUUAAACAUACUCUACCCGUACCGCAAACCGACACAGGUAGUCGAGGCGAGUAGCCUCAGGUGAGCGAGAGAACUCUCGUUAAGGAACUCGGCAAAAUGACCCCGUAACUUCGGGAGAAGGGGUGCUGACUUAAAGUCAGCCGCAGUGAAUAGGCCCAAGCAACUGUUUAUCAAAAACACAGCUCUCUGCUAAAUCGUAAGAUGAUGUAUAGGGGGUGACGCCUGCCCGGUGCUGGAAGGUUAAGAGGAGUGCUUAGCGUAAGCGAAGGUAUGAAUUGAAGCCCCAGUAAACGGCGGCCGUAACUAUAACGGUCCUAAGGUAGCGAAAUUCCUUGUCGGGUAAGUUCCGACCCGCACGAAAGGCGUAAUGAUUUGGGCACUGUCUCAACGAGAGACUCGGUGAAAUUUUAGUACCUGUGAAGAUGCAGGUUACCCGCGACAGGACGGAAAGACCCCAUGGAGCUUUACUGCAGUUUGAUAUUGAGUGUCUGUACCACAUGUACAGGAUAGGUAGGAGUCUAAGAGAUCGGGACGCCAGUUUCGAAGGAGACGCUGUUGGGAUACUACCCUUGUGUUAUGGCCACUCUAACCCAGAUAGGUGAUCCCUAUCGGAGACAGUGUCUGACGGGCAGUUUGACUGGGGCGGUCGCCUCCUAAAAGGUAACGGAGGCGCCCAAAGGUUCCCUCAGAAUGGUUGGAAAUCAUUCGCAGAGUGUAAAGGUAUAAGGGAGCUUGACUGCGAGAGCUACAACUCGAGCAGGGACGAAAGUCGGGCUUAGUGAUCCGGUGGUUCCGUAUGGAAGGGCCAUCGCUCAACGGAUAAAAGCUACCCUGGGGAUAACAGGCUUAUCUCCCCCAAGAGUUCACAUCGACGGGGAGGUUUGGCACCUCGAUGUCGGCUCGUCGCAUCCUGGGGCUGUAGUCGGUCCCAAGGGUUGGGCUGUUCGCCCAUUAAAGCGGCACGCGAGCUGGGUUCAGAACGUCGUGAGACAGUUCGGUCCCUAUCCGUCGCGGGCGUAGGAAAUUUGAGAGGAUCUGCUCCUAGUACGAGAGGACCAGAGUGGACUUACCGCUGGUGUACCAGUUGUCUUGCCAAAGGCAUCGCUGGGUAGCUAUGUAGGGAAGGGAUAAACGCUGAAAGCAUCUAAGUGUGAAACCCACCUCAAGAUGAGAUUUCCCAUGAUUAUAUAUCAGUAAGAGCCCUGAGAGAUGAUCAGGUAGAUAGGUUAGAAGUGGAAGUGUGGCGACACAUGUAGCGGACUAAUACUAAUAGCUCGAGGACUUAUCCA